RNAcentral lists this ribosomal RNA (288 nucleotides) under Alcanivorax sp. HI0033. RNAcentral's name for it is "partial 23S ribosomal RNA". It matches the Rfam family "Bacterial large subunit ribosomal RNA", at positions 1 to 282 of the family's 2925-position model. The record is from RNAcentral. Lineage: Bacteria; Pseudomonadati; Pseudomonadota; Gammaproteobacteria; Oceanospirillales; Alcanivoracaceae.
GUUAUAUAGUCAAGUGAUUAAGCGUACACGGUGGAUGCCUUGGCAGCCAGAGGCGAUGAAGGACGUUGUAGCUUGCGAUAAGCUUCGGGGAGGUAGCAAACAACCUUUGAUCCGGAGAUUUCCGAAUGGGGAAACCCACCUGUCAUAAGGCAGGUAUCGCAUACUGAAUACAUAGGUAUGCGAGGCGAACGCGGUGAACUGAAACAUCUAAGUACCCGUAGGAACAGAAAUCAAUUGAGAUUCCGUCAGUAGCGGCGAGCGAACGCGGAUUAGCCCUUAAGUCUGUGA